CGCCUCUUGCCCUCUAAGUAUAAGAGGUCCCGCCUGCCCGGUGAUUUAUUUUAACGGCCGCGGUAUCAUGACCGUGCAAAGGUAGCGUAAUCACUUGUCUUUUAAAUAAAGACCUGUAUGAAAGGCAAAACGAAAGCUCAACUGUCUCUUUAAUCUAAUCAGUGAAAUUAAUUUCUUCGUGCAGAAGCGAAGAUAACCAUAUAAGACGAGAAGACCCUAUGGAGCUUAAAAUACAAAAUUAAUUGUACCGUUAUACCAGCCAAUAGGUAAAAAAUAAAAACGUAUAAUUAUAAUUCAAAUUUUCGGUUGGGGCGACCACGGAAGAGAAAAUAUCCUCCGAGAUAAGUAAUUUAGAAUUACACUUCAAAAAUUAAAAUAUUUAUUGUAAAUGAUCCACUAAGUGACCAACGAACCAAGUUACCCUAGGGAUAACAGCGCAAUCCUUUCUAAGAGUUCAUAUCGACGAAUGGGUUUACGACCUCGAUGUUGGAUCAGGACACCCAAAUGGUGCAGCCGCUAUUAAAGGUUCGUUUGUUCAACGAUUAAAGUCCUACGUG
Molecule: ribosomal RNA, 557 nt
Filed under: Hypselotriton orientalis (oriental fire-bellied newt)
Lineage: Eukaryota; Metazoa; Chordata; Amphibia; Caudata; Salamandridae
Description: partial 16S ribosomal RNA
Rfam family: Bacterial large subunit ribosomal RNA
Source: RNAcentral